Parus major (Great Tit) is the source of this 2479-nucleotide long non-coding RNA. RefSeq lists it as uncharacterized. The record is from RefSeq and is a predicted model, not a curated record. The transcript has 2 exons. NCBI's taxonomy places the organism in Eukaryota, Metazoa, Chordata, Aves, Passeriformes, Paridae.
CCUCCCCGGGGGGCGGUGCGGGGCGCCCGAGGAGGAAAUGGAACGCGUGAGGCCAAACAAGGAACAAUCCCCGGGUUGUUGGCUGAGCCAACAGCCUCCUGUCGCCGGGUCUGUCGCCGUGUGAGCGAACGCGUGGAUUACCCCGUCAGGAGGAAAUGGGCGAUGAUGGGGCGAUAAACUCGCCCGCUGUGUAAUCACAAUUGAUUUGCAAUUGACCGAGCGCCGCUCCCGACCCCGGGUCGCGGGGACCGGGAAGCUCUCGGAGGCCGUGGCCGCGCUCCUCCGCGUGCUCGGACUGUGCAGCCGGUCCCGCUGUUACACGCGCGGGGCUGUUUCUGACCAAAAUCAGAACUUUUCCGAAAGUGGCAGGUAGUUAUUUUAGCGCUAAUUUAGUUAACACCAUUGUGAAAGGUGUUACGACAUCGAACAAUGCCCGGUGAAGAAAAUGUCUGGCACGGGACUCAGUGACUGAUAGAGGUUUAAAAAGUCUCCAGUCCUGGAUGCGGUGCUCCAUUUUAAGAUGUAAUUCUUUCGCUGGUGGCUGCUUGAAGCGCACCUGAUAUAAAAAUUUCUACAGAAUGUAAAAGUGAGUGCGUCUAGUCAGGGGAAGCGGGCGAGUCUGUAAAUUACCGCUCUGUCAGGAUUCCUCUUGCCUGUUACAAAGUACCUUUUUAUGCUGAACUUAAACUCUACACUACAGAGACAGCAGAUGUGAGGUGAUGGCUUCCAAAAGCAACACAGAUGCUGUAAAAUUUCCAUUGCUAUAUUUCAGCGAGGAAGCUCAGGAGACAUGCUGAAUGCUGCAGUUUAGAGUUACACUAUAACUCUCCUAGAAAUAAGAGAAUACCAAGUUUCUCAACAGUACAUUUUGCUUCAUUUUUUGCUGUCAUUCAUAUGCUCUUGUUUUCUUACAGCGAGAAAAAGAGAUGCAGCACAAAGAUACUGUGUGUCUUGAAGCUGUUCAGUAAUGACAGAAUUGGUAUAUAAAACAGCACAGCUGUGAGGAGGCUGCUUUGCUUUAUGUGACUGAAAAGCAGCCUGAUUUGCUCAAGACUGUGGAAUCAGAGCCCAUUGUGUGUUCGUUAUACUUGGAGACUUCCCUGAAGUCCCUAGAAGUCCUGUGAUGAAGGAAUCAAGGGUCAAGUCUUUAAAAUGGUUUGUGUGUUUAUUCCAGAAAAUUUAGCAGCUGCUUUCUCUGAAAAGCUGAACUUUGCUAUAGCAAUGCAGAAUACUUUAGAGCACUUUUUUUUCCCUGGGAUUUCAAAACAGAUGUCCAGUCAUCAAAUCAUGCAGAAAUAUAAAGCUGGAAAGGAUGUUACAGAUAUUAUAACUUUGUAAAAAGUUACAGAUUUGACUUGUUGUCAAAUCUAGUCACUUUGUGACUAGUCUUUGUCACUUCUUUGUCACUACAGAUCUUUGUUGCCACAGAUACUCACGCCUCUUUUAUUCAAGCAAUUAGGUUUGGCACUGGCCCCUCUAACAUAAGCUUAAUUUUUCUGUUCAUCUGAGGCUUUGCAUUUGGGAUUAUAUGGAUCCCACCAAAUCAGGUAAUGGACACUGCAGGGCAUUUUAGUUCAAAAUAAGUAAGUUUGGUUGUGUGGGGGUUUUUUUUGUUUUUUUUUUUUUGUUUUUUUUUUUUUUUAAACUGGAAAUAAAAAUGCCACAUGAAAUCUUGGAUUUAACAUGCUAUUGUGUUUAUGUAAAAAUAGAGAUUCUUAGUUUAUAAGAUUGAAAAAAAUUGCUUUUUAAUUCCCACUAAGUGUUCUCCAGUAAAUUUUAGUGUGGCAUUGACUGCAUUGGAUAGGUCACUGAAUGGUGCUUUUAUAAAAAUAUUUGAAAAGAAGAACUUGGUCCAUGGAAAUUGUUCAAAUAAUCUUGUUAGAAUGAAGCCUUGACUGAAGGCAGUAAUUUCAUGGAUUAAACCCAGAAGGGCUGGCUAGGCUGAUCUCCUUCCUAUCACAGGCCACAGAGCUUUGUGCAGAGACUGUGCUGGUUAGCUGCAAGACAUAGGGGAUUUUGCAUGGACAAUACAUUGAACAACACCAUGAAACUAGAAACUGUGGAUCUUUUUGAGGACAGGAUAAAUAGGAGCAAAAAGAAAUAGUAUUUUUAGAGGCCAUUUAGUAAACACAGGAAGGUAAAGUUGUUGUACUUUGCUGUGUUCAGCUUUACCCUAAAAUGUUCCAAUUAAAAGUAAAAGAAACUGGUUUGUUGGUUUUAUUUUUAUUUUUUUUUUCCAGUCUAUCCUUUUCUCUCAUAUGCCACGUGGUCUAGAACUGAGCUACAGGAUGGGACAUCCAAGUAUGGGGAGGAACUGACUGAUUUGUACUUCUGCAAGUCUUAAAAGCACAAAUUAUGAAAAAAAAAUCCAGUGCUGUGAAACUUAAAGAAAAAUAGGGAUAGGAGAAUACAGUGUGCAUAUCUAUCUUUGCUAUUUUUCCUUUUACAAAAAUAAAUAAAUAAAUGGCAUUCAAACAUC